UAAAAAUCGAUCGAUGAAAAUGUCAAGUGUGUUUUAUUUACGAAACGAAACCAACUUGCACUCAUAUUUUACUAAGUUUAACUUCGCCAGUUCUUUUUACUUAUUUUUUAAUCAUUUGUGCUAAAAUAGAUGCGUAAUCGAUGCUACGACCAUAAACAAAAGAUUCAAUCUCGGAUUCAAUUGUGCAAGCUAACCAAAACCAUAUCGGUACUGCCUUCGCUGUGGAUAGACAGAAAAAACCGGAUAAAGAAAGAAGCGCUGAAGUGACUGUGAUGUGCGAUGCUGGCCAAGAAAACCAUAAGAAAUAGCAAAAACUACCAAAACGUACACCAGAGUAUUCAGUGCCUAUCAGAAUGAAAAAAAUGGUAUCCUUCUGCCAACUUUAGUGAUCAAAUUCCAGAGCAGAUACGAAUAGGAAAUGAUUCAGGCUCGGGUAGAUGUAAACCACGGAAAAUAUGAAUAAUUGUUCAAUUGUGAAUUCAAUCCAGACCAGGCCCUUUAUCAGCACCUUUAAUAUAUUCUGAUGCUCAUCAAAAGAACAAAAACCUGGAGAAGUUCUGGAAGAAAUCAUGCCAAAAUAUAUUUCCUACGUGACAUUAGAAGACCAUUACAAUCACCGCAGGAUGAAAACAGAUUUGUUCCAGGGUUUCAGCCUGUGUUAUCGUUGCUGCUUCGAAUCCUGUGCAAUCAGACAGUAAGUCAAGCGGAACUUAUUAGGUGGAAGCUAUCGACGAACAUGAAUAAAGAUAUGUAAUUUUAA
Molecule: long non-coding RNA, 760 nt
Organism: Armigeres subalbatus
Lineage: Eukaryota; Metazoa; Arthropoda; Insecta; Diptera; Culicidae
Exons: 3
Source: RefSeq, a predicted model, not a curated record